AUGACGAUCCAAUACUUCAGCAGAGAAGUUACCACUGUGGAGAGAACCUCGAAGAACGCCUGCCCUGCUUCAGCCUCUACCUCCUUGCCUUUGUCUGGCCCUCAUGUUUGUGCAGAUCUCCUGGACAGCCUGCUUCAAGAAAUUCUGCUUCAUGAAAUUAUUGCUCUGUUUGACUCAUUCCAUGACUUCCUUGCAUUCAUUGGCACCUGUUGCUCUUGGCGUGCUGCAGUCUCUACCUUUCCCUCUGUGCAUACAUUCAGCUUCCCACCGCUCCACUUGAAACCAGAUGGUCCUUAUGUUCAUCCACAUAGCGGCCCUAUCAAGCCCAUCCCUUUAUCUAAUUGCAAAUGGCAGUUCAGUGAUCCUAGCAAGAAAAACUUAUCCCUUGCGUGUUCAGUGCCUAAAAAUAGUCCAAAUAAAAUGCACUAUUUGGGCUGCUCAUAUGGGUAUCUUAUCUUCUCCCACAAGGUUCACUGCCUCCUUGUCGAUGUAUACACUGGUAGCAAGGUGAUGCCCCCCAAACUCCCACCUAACAACGAUCUUGGGUACUUCUGUGGAAUAGGCAUCCUUACGGCCCCAUUGAUUUCACCCAACUCUCGCCUCCUUUUCUCUAGAGAUUCCAUGUUUGAGUGGCAUGUUGGAACAAACUCCUGGUCAGAGCACACCCUUACUCUUGAUUAUGAACUCAUCUAUCAGAUUGUGUCCUUCAAAGGAGAUAUCUUUGUCAUAGAUGCUCUUCUUAGGCUCCACGCUAUACACUUCAGACCUCAAUUCCACAUGCAAAAAAUAGCAAUUAAAAAGGAGUUUGUGCCUAUGUACUCAUGGUUGGUGGUCUGUGGUGACAUGCUUCUGAUGAUUGACCAAAGGUUCAGCUCUGGCGGAUUGGGUGGCUCAUCUAACGCAUUCUUUAGGGUCUUUCGCCUCAACUUCUCUGUCGAGGCAGCUAAGUGGGUGAAGUUGGAGAAGCUGGAGAAUUAUGCUCUGUUUGUUAGCCCUGAUAGAAGGAAUCCUACAUUUUGUUGCAUGAGCCCGGAAAGAUGGGGAGGAAAGAGUAACUGCAUUUAUUUUGCGAGGCUAUCUGAAGAUCCCGAUGAAACUUGGACCGCGGUCGAGUUUGGUCAGCCAGUGCCAAACAAUGCAGUUCGCUCCAUGCUCUUCUAUGAUAUUUCGUCCCCUCCAGACUGUGGUGUACUAUGUAGCCUCUGGGUGUUCCCCAGUUUAGUUUAUGGUUCUGGCUAG
RNAcentral lists this ribosomal RNA (1239 nucleotides) under Triticum aestivum (bread wheat). RNAcentral's name for it is "partial small subunit ribosomal RNA". The record is from RNAcentral. Lineage: Eukaryota; Viridiplantae; Streptophyta; Magnoliopsida; Poales; Poaceae.